This 766-nucleotide ribosomal RNA is filed under the name Staphylococcus epidermidis. RNAcentral's name for it is "bacterial SSU rRNA". It matches the Rfam family "Bacterial small subunit ribosomal RNA", at positions 28 to 776 of the family's 1533-position model. The record is from RNAcentral. Lineage: Bacteria; Bacillati; Bacillota; Bacilli; Caryophanales; Staphylococcaceae.
GAUGAACGCUGGCGGCGUGCCUAAUACAUGCAAGUCGAGCGAACAGAUAAGGAGCUUGCUCCUUUGACGUUAGCGGCGGACGGGUGAGUAACACGUGGAUAACCUACCUAUAAGACUGGGAUAACUUCGGGAAACCGGAGCUAAUACCGGAUAACAUAUUGAACCGCAUGGUUCAAUAGUGAAAGGCGGCUUUGCUGUCACUUAUAGAUGGAUCCGCGCCGUAUUAGCUAGUUGGUAAGGUAACGGCUUACCAAGGCAACGAUACGUAGCCGACCUGAGAGGGUGAUCGGCCACACUGGAACUGAGACACGGUCCAGACUCCUACGGGAGGCAGCAGUAGGGAAUCUUCCGCAAUGGGCGAAAGCCUGACGGAGCAACGCCGCGUGAGUGAUGAAGGUCUUCGGAUCGUAAAACUCUGUUAUCAGGGAAGAACAAAUGUGUAAGUAACUGUGCACAUCUUGACGGUACCUGAUCAGAAAGCCACGGCUAACUACGUGCCAGCAGCCGCGGUAAUACGUAGGUGGCAAGCGUUAUCCGGAAUUAUUGGGCGUAAAGCGCGCGUAGGCGGUUUUUUAAGUCUGAUGUGAAAGCCCACGGCUCAACCGUGGAGGGUCAUUGGAAACUGGAAAACUUGAGUGCAGAAGAGGAAAGUGGAAUUCCAUGUGUAGCGGUGAAAUGCGCAGAGAUAUGGAGGAACACCAGUGGCGAAGGCGACUUUCUGGUCUGUAACUGACGCUGAUGUGCGAAAGCGUGGGGAUCAAACAGG